RNAcentral lists this ribosomal RNA (429 nucleotides) under Pseudomonadota bacterium. Its description in RNAcentral is "Proteobacteria bacterium partial 16S ribosomal RNA". It matches the Rfam family "Bacterial small subunit ribosomal RNA", at positions 355 to 776 of the family's 1533-position model. The record is from RNAcentral. Lineage: Bacteria; Pseudomonadati; Pseudomonadota.
UGGGGAAUAUUGGACAAUGGGCGAAAGCCUGAUCCAGCCAUGCCGCGUGUGUGAAGAAGGUCUUCGGAUUGUAAAGCACUUUAAGUUGGGAGGAAGGGCAGUAAGCGAAUACCUUGCUGUUUUGACGUUACCGACAGAAUAAGCACCGGCUAACUCUGUGCCAGCAGCCGCGGUAAUACAGAGGGUGCAAGCGUUAAUCGGAAUUACUGGGCGUAAAGCGCGCGUAGGUGGUUCGUUAAGUUGAAUGUGAAAGCCCCGGGCUCAACCGGGGAACUGCAUCCAAAACUGGCGAGCUAGAGUAGGGCAGAGGGGGGUGGAAUUUCCUGUGUAGCGGUGAAAUGCGUAGAUAUAGGAAGGAACACAAGUGGCGAAGGCGACCACCUGGGCUCAUACUGACACUGAGGUGCGAAAGCGUGGGGAGCAAACAGG